This 244-nucleotide ribosomal RNA is filed under the name uncultured Lactobacillus sp. RNAcentral describes it as "partial 16S ribosomal RNA". It matches the Rfam family "Bacterial small subunit ribosomal RNA", at positions 118 to 355 of the family's 1533-position model. The record is from RNAcentral. Lineage: Bacteria; Bacillati; Bacillota; Bacilli; Lactobacillales; Lactobacillaceae.
UGGGUAACCUGCCCAAGAGAUCGGGAUAACACCUGGAAACAGAUGCUAAUACCGGAUAACAACAGAUGAUGCCUAUCAACUGUUUAAAAGAUGGUUCUGCUAUCACUCUUGGAUGGACCUGCGGUGCAUUAGCUAGUUGGUAGGGUAACGGCCUACCAAGGCGACGAUACGUAGCCGACCUGAGAGGGUGAUCGGCCACACUGGAACUGAGACACGGUCCAGACUCCUACGGGAGGCAGCAGCU